RNAcentral lists this ribosomal RNA (466 nucleotides) under uncultured bacterium. RNAcentral describes it as "partial 16S ribosomal RNA". It matches the Rfam family "Bacterial small subunit ribosomal RNA", at positions 28 to 507 of the family's 1533-position model. The record is from RNAcentral.
GACGAACGCUGGCGGCGCGCCUAACACAUGCAAGUCGAACGAGCGAGAGAGAGCUUGCUUUCUCAAGCGAGUGGCGAACGGGUGAGUAACGCGUGAGGAACCUGCCUCAAAGAGGGGGACAACAGUUGGAAACGUCUGCUAAUACCGCAUAAGCCCACGACCCGGCAUCGGGUAGAGGGAAAAGGAGCAAUCCGCUUUGAGAUGGCCUCGCGUCCGAUUAGCUAGUUGGUGAGGUAACGGCCCACCAAGGCGACGAUCGGUAGCCGGACUGAGAGGUUGUACGGCCACAUUGGGACUGAGACACGGCCCAGACUCCUACGGGAGGCAGCAGUGGGGAAUAUUGCACAAUGGGGGAAACCCUGAUGCAGCGACGCCGCGUGGAGGAAGAAGGUCUUCGGAUUGUAAACUCCUGUUGUUGAGGAAGAUAAUGACGGUACUCAACAAGGAAGUGACGGCUAACUACGUG